Cucurbita pepo subsp. pepo (vegetable marrow) is the source of this 72-nucleotide non-coding RNA. NCBI's taxonomy places the organism in Eukaryota, Viridiplantae, Streptophyta, Magnoliopsida, Cucurbitales, Cucurbitaceae. The record is from the annotation of a RefSeq genome assembly.
GGGUUCAUAGCUCAGUGGUAGAGCAUUUGACUGUAGAUCAAGAUGUCACCGGUUCAAACUCGGUUGAGCUCU